RNAcentral lists this unclassified non-coding RNA (338 nucleotides) under soil metagenome. RNAcentral's name for it is "partial contains 5.8S ribosomal RNA, internal transcribed spacer 2, and large subunit ribosomal RNA". The stretch from base 1 to 120 matches the Rfam family "5.8S ribosomal RNA", at positions 35 to 154 of the family's 154-position model. The record is from RNAcentral.
GAUGAAGAACGUAGUGAAAUGCGAUAAGUAAUGUGAAUUGCAGAAUUCAGUGAAUCAUCGAAUCUUUGAACGCACAUUGCGCCCGCCAGUAUUCUGGCGGGCAUGCCUGUCUGAGCGUCAUUUCAACCCUCAAGCAACUUCUGCUUGGUGUUGGGGAUCGGCCGUCAAACGCCGCCCCCGAAAUCUAUUGGCGAUCUCGCUGUAGCUUCCUAUGCGUAGUAGUAACAUCUCGCAUCUGGAGAGCGGAGCGGUCAUGCCGUAAAACACCCAACUUCUCAGGUUGACCUCAGAUCAGGUAGGAAUACCCGCUGAACUUAAGCAUAUCAAUAAGCGGAGGA